UGUGAGGGUUGCUGGAGGUAUCAGAAGUGCGAAUGCUGACAUAAGUAACGAUAAAGCGGGUGAAAAGCCCGCUCGCCGGAAGACCAAGGGUUCCUGUCCAACGUUAAUCGGGGCAGGGUGAGUCGACCCCUAAGGCGAGGCCGAAAGGCGUAGUCGAUGGGAAACGGGUUAAUAUUCCCGUACUUGGUGUUACUGCGAAGGGGGGACGGAGAAGGCUAUGUUGGCCGGGCGACGGUUGUCCCGGUUUAAGCGUGUAGGUGUGUGUUCCAGGUAAAUCCGGUUCACUUUAACACUGAGGCGUGACGACGAGGCACUACGGUGCUGAAGCAACAAAUGCCCUGCUUCCAGGAAAAGCCUCUAAGCAUCAGGUAACAUCAAAUCGUACCCCAAACCGACACAGGUGGUCAGGUAGAGAAUACCAAGGCGCUUGAGAGAACUCGGGUGAAGGAACUAGGCAAAAUGGUGCCGUAACUUCGGGAGAAGGCACGCUGACACGUAGGUGAAGUGAUUUACUCAUGGAGCUGAAGUCAGUCGAAGAUACCAGCUGGCUGCAACUGUUUAUUAAAAACACAGCACUGUGCAAACACGAAAGUGGACGUAUACGGUGUGACGCCUGCCCGGUGCCGGAAGGUUAAUUGAUGGGGUCAGCGCAAGCGAAGCUCCUGAUCGAAGCCCCGGUAAACGGCGGCCGUAACUAUAACGGUCCUAAGGUAGCGAAAUUCCUUGUCGGGUAAGUUCCGACCUGCACGAAUGGCGUAAUGAUGGCCAGGCUGUCUCCACCCGAGACUCAGUGAAAUUGAACUCGCUGUGAAGAUGCAGUGUACCCGCGGCAAGACGGAAAGACCCCGUGAACCUUUACUAUAGCUUGACACUGAACAUUGAGCCUUGAUGUGUAGGAUAGGUGGGAGGCUUUGAAGUGUGGACGCCAGUCUGCAUGGAGCCGACCUUGAAAUACCACCCUUUAAUGUUUGAUGUUCUAACGUGGACCCGUUACCCGGGUUGCGGACAGUGUCUGGUGGGUAGUUUGACUGGGGCGGUCUCCUCCUAAAGAGUAACGGAGGAGCACG
This 1067-nucleotide ribosomal RNA is filed under the name Salmonella enterica. RNAcentral describes it as "partial 23S ribosomal RNA". It matches the Rfam family "Bacterial large subunit ribosomal RNA", at positions 1262 to 2312 of the family's 2925-position model. RNAcentral also lists the same sequence under 1 other name. Lineage: Bacteria; Pseudomonadati; Pseudomonadota; Gammaproteobacteria; Enterobacterales; Enterobacteriaceae. The record is from RNAcentral.